RNAcentral lists this long non-coding RNA (1323 nucleotides) under Phoenix dactylifera (date palm). Its description in RNAcentral is "long non-coding RNA (PDAC_LNC003553)". The record is from RNAcentral. Lineage: Eukaryota; Viridiplantae; Streptophyta; Magnoliopsida; Arecales; Arecaceae.
CCAAGAUGGGGAUAGGUCUGAAUCAAGUGAAAGAUGGGUCAUAAUGCAUCAUAUCCUGCCCUCAAUCAGACAAAAGUAAUGGUAUUCAGCUGAGAAGAGUGAUGCAAUCAAAACAAAUUCAGACCUUAUUUGUUCAAAGUCACACACUCACUUGAUCCACUUUAGUCUAUGGGCAUAUAACUGUACAAGACAAAAUGCACAUUAUACAGGACUUUACAUGGUUCAUUUGUUAAUUGGAAUAUGAUUGACAAAAUCUGAAUCUUGUUCCACAAUUCGGAAAUAAUUUCUUCAAUUCGUAUCGGCUCCCAUAAAGUUUUGGAUGACUGGAUCUAGGCCAGCUACAGACUCUUCAUGGUGCAACUUGUCAUUGCCAGACCGGCACAAAACCAAGGGCAUGGCUGAAAUCAUCAGCAUGAUUUUAUAAAAGGAGCCUCUCUUCCCAUCUUAUGGAUUUAAAAUAUUCUGAUGGGGUUCUCAUACAACAGCUUCUUAAAGAAAAAUCUUCAGAAACAAAGAAGUAGACAUACAUUUGUAUCUAGAAUGGCCAGAAUAAGGUCAUUGUGUACCCAUAAACAAUUUCAAAUAAAACAAGAAAAAUGACUGUUCUCUGUAUUACAAAUACUCACAGAACUAUCAGGAUAAGACAUUACAUCUUAUUGCAUAUUAGAUCGUCGUAUACCAACAAAAUUUCAAGAGAAAAAUAUAUAAUUACAUGAAAGUGCUGCUUGUGUUACAAAUGAUACAACUAUGGGCAUAAUAAAAUACAAGGUCUUAUUUCAUAGCACAGAAGAGACUAUGACUUUGAAAAAGAACAUCUGCCAAGAUCCCGUACCUCAUGGUAGUAUGUGUUGGCCCAACUAGGGUUUAUAUAUAUAUAAUAAAAAAAAAAGAGAUAAAAAUCAAGUUUGUAAACGUAAAUUGGGUUUAUAAACACAAAAAAAAAAGAAGAUAAAAAUCAAGUUUGUAAACGUAUGCAAAUUGCAAAAAUAAUGAAGAAUUUAAAGCUUUAUGCAAAUUGAGAACUAGAGUGCAAGAGGUGAAAUUUUAUGUGUAAUAACUCCCAAAGAGUUGGAUUUACAAAUGAAGCUUACAAAGAAAGAAAUAAGAGAGAAAGGAAGCUUGACGAAUUAAAAUCUUUUCUUCUUCUCCAAUAUAGACUGAACUAGAAUGCUCUCUUUUUUAUCUCUUGAUUUUACUUUCAAACUCUAUGGAACUCUCUUUUACUGCAAUAUGAGGUAUGAACCUCCUUUUAUAGGCUUGAGAAGCCAUUUUUUCUGUUUGAAAUAAUUUGAAGCUUUAGAAACCCUUUUUCAACACAUGUAA